Molecule: microRNA precursor, 75 nt
Organism: Colobus angolensis palliatus
Lineage: Eukaryota; Metazoa; Chordata; Mammalia; Primates; Cercopithecidae
Source: Ensembl
GCAGUGCUCUACUUAGAAAGGUGCCAGUCACUUAUAUUACAUGUCACUGUGUCCUUUCUGCGUAGAGUAAGGCUC